AAUUAUUUUUCGAAUCCUGUGGAGGAGAGCUCCCGUGGAGCAUUUAUGGUUGCUAUUCAAUAUAUGUCCCAUUUCAAUCAAUUUUCUGUUCCGUUUGUUGAUCACCAUUUCUUAUGCAAGAGUAUUACAUCGUCGCCAUCGUCUUUACAGUUUGUGGUCGCUGUGGAUCUCCACAGUUCGUGGUUGCAGUUCAUCCUUGUUGUUGCUUCUCCACAAGGUCCAGAUAUGCCCACUCUCAAGUCUCAUGUACUUCUCCAUCUACCCCACUCUCUCCUACUCCGAUCCAUCACAGAGAGGAAGAGACGUUGGGGAGAGAACUGUAGCUGAUUGCAUCCCAAGCCAAUUACACCGUAAACACUCCUUUAUAAUUCACUGGACCACAAGUUUUUAUUAUAUGAAGUACAAAGGCCAUCGUCUCUUGUGUGUGGUCCAUCCAAAUUAUCCCAGGCCAUCGUUUUUGUUAUAUGAAGUUCAUUUGACAAAAUAUGUUAUUAGUCAAUUUAUUCAGAUGAUGUAUUGAAUAAAGACCUUCACUUGGUGAUUCCUUUGACUCUUUUCAUUUUAUUCUUUGACUCUCUUGUUCAGUUUAUUUUUUUCAUUUUCUUAGUGAUUCCUGUGGACCACAUUCCAACUGUAAAAGACCUCCACUCUCUUGUGAUGCAUGAUAUCUAGUUCCUUGUCCCACAUCUCUUGUUAGGAAUGGAUCCAUCCAUUCACCGUGAUGCCUACUUCACAAAUCUUCUAAAUAACAAUGACUUUUUGAUGAGUGCCACAAAUGAACAAGAACUCUCUCCACCCCUUGUUGAGGUUAUUGAAGUUGAACUGAGUGGACGAAAAACACAAUGAGGUAAUAAUUUUAGUACUGAGGAAGAUUUGUUGCUUGUGGAGGGAUGGCUUGAAACUUCCUUAGAUGCAAUACAAGGAAAAGAUCAAAAGCACACGAUGUUAUGGAAAAGAAUUCAUAAAUAUUUUGAGGAAAACAAGAAAUUUGACUAUUUACGCAACUACACCUCUAAUGAAUCGGUGGUCGACGAUUCAACAAGCUACAAAUAAACUUUAUGGUUACUUGGUCCAAGUAGAAGGAAUGCAUCCAAGUGGGUUUAACGAGCAAGACAAGAUUGGCAAGACAAAGGUUAUGUUCCUGGAGUUAGAGAAUAAGUCUUUUAACUUUGAUCAUUAUUGGCGGGUGUUAAGAUUCCAUCCAAAGUGGGUGGAACAUAUGGACAUAGUGAAGCCGAAGAAGAAACCAAGUUCGAAUGAUUCGACACCAAAUUCAAUAAAUCUAGGCAAAGAUGAAGAUUUUCAUGUUGCAUUUUCAAAUUUGGAAUGACCAAUAGGUCGUAAAGCAGAAAAAGAGAAACAAAAGAGAAAAGAAAUGACAAACUCUGACUCUUUUGUGGUACCAAAUGAGAUGGCGGAAAUUAGAAAGAGUAAACUUGUGCUUAUACAAGAAGCAUGUGAUCAUGACAAUAUAAUGUUGUGUCUUAGGCAAGAGGAAGUGAGUCUUAGGCAAGACAAAGUGCGUAUUCAGAAGGAGAAGGUGCUACUUCAACAAGUGAAAGCACGGCUUGAAGAAAAGAAAGAAGAUCAAAGAAUUAUGACGUUAAAUACAAGUGUCAUGCCUCCAAUGCUACAACAAUAUUAUCUUCAACAACAAAUGGAAAUACUUGCAAGUCGUGCUGGGAAAAACUAGCUGUAGUGCAAUUUUAUGGAGUAAUGUUAUAUUUAUGUUUGUUGGAUUAAUCACUUCAG
Molecule: long non-coding RNA, 1752 nt
Organism: Carya illinoinensis
Lineage: Eukaryota; Viridiplantae; Streptophyta; Magnoliopsida; Fagales; Juglandaceae
Exons: 3
Source: RefSeq, a predicted model, not a curated record